GAUGAACGCUAGCGGCAGGCUUAACACAUGCAAGUCGAGGGGCAGCAUGGGACGGAGAUUCGUCGAAGUCCUGAUGGCGACCGGCGCAAGGGUGCGUAACGCGUGAGCAACUUGCCCGUUUCUGGGGAAUAACCGGUGGAAACGCCGACUAAUACCCCAUGGCAUCAAUGAGAGGCAUCUUUUGUUGAUUAAAGAAUUUCGGAAACGGAUAGGCUCGCGUGACAUUAGCUAGAUGGCGGGGUAACGGCCCACCAUGGCGACGAUGUCUAGGGGUUCUGAGAGGAAGGUCCCCCACACUGGAACUGAGACACGGUCCGG
RNAcentral lists this ribosomal RNA (318 nucleotides) under uncultured bacterium. RNAcentral describes it as "bacterial SSU rRNA". It matches the Rfam family "Bacterial small subunit ribosomal RNA", at positions 28 to 334 of the family's 1533-position model. The record is from RNAcentral.